This 253-nucleotide ribosomal RNA is filed under the name uncultured bacterium. RNAcentral describes it as "partial 16S ribosomal RNA". It matches the Rfam family "Bacterial small subunit ribosomal RNA", at positions 524 to 776 of the family's 1533-position model. The record is from RNAcentral.
UACGUAGGGUGCGAGCGUUAAUCGGAAUUACUGGGGGUAAAGUGUGCGCAGGUGGCCGCGCAAGUCGAGUGUGAAAUCCCCGGGCUUAACCUGGGAACUGCACUUGUGACUGCACAGCUGGAGUGCGGCAGAGGGGGAUGGAAUUCCGCGUGUAGCAGUGAAAUGCGUAGAUAUGCGGAGGAACACCGAUGGCGAAGGCAAUCCCCUGGGCCUGCACUGACGCUCAUGCACGAAAGCGUGGGGAGCAAACAGG